UUAGACUUAGCGGCGGACGGGUGAGUAACGCGUGGGUAACCUGCCUUACACUGGGGGAUAACAGUUAGAAAUGACUGCUAAUACCGCAUAAGCGCACGGGGCCGCAUGGUCUGGUGUGAAAAACUCCGGUGGUGUAAGAUGGACCCGCGUCUGAUUAGGUAGUUGGUGGGGUAACGGCCCACCAAGCCGACGAUCAGUAGCCGACCUGAGAGGGUGACCGGCCACAUUGGGACUGAGACACGGCCCAA
This 248-nucleotide ribosomal RNA is filed under the name uncultured bacterium. RNAcentral's name for it is "partial 16S ribosomal RNA". It matches the Rfam family "Bacterial small subunit ribosomal RNA", at positions 86 to 334 of the family's 1533-position model. The record is from RNAcentral.